UCAAAUCUCUCCUCUUUACAAAAAGAUUUCUUUGUUUGUGUUUUCUAACUUAGACAUGUUUUAAUGAUUAGAACCUUUAACCUUAUGCCAAUGAAUUUUCAAACUUUUUCUUAAUCAAACUUAACCAUAUUAACUUCAAUUUAAAAAAAAAAGAACUAAUAACCCACUCAAACCUUUGGCCUUCUGUGCCUUCUCUGUUAAACUUUUGUUAAAAGCAACCAACUUCUUUGGAAUUUUUACCACGAACUACGAGGUUUUGAUCCCUCAUUUUUAUGUUGGUACGUAGGCAUAAGACCGAAGGUCUUGUCAAACACAAAAAUAUAAUUAAUGAAUU
RNAcentral lists this long non-coding RNA (334 nucleotides) under Lathyrus oleraceus (garden pea). Its description in RNAcentral is "Pisum sativum (pea) long non-coding RNA (PSAT_LNC032078)". The record is from RNAcentral. Lineage: Eukaryota; Viridiplantae; Streptophyta; Magnoliopsida; Fabales; Fabaceae.